GCCCUCGUAGCUCAAUGGAUAGAGCAGUUCCGUCCUAAGGAAAAAAUGUGGGUUCGAUUCCUGCCGAGGGCACAA
Molecule: transfer RNA, 75 nt
Filed under: Candidatus Kaiserbacteria bacterium CG10_big_fil_rev_8_21_14_0_10_45_20
Lineage: Bacteria; Candidatus Kaiseribacteriota
Description: tRNA-Arg
Rfam family: tRNA
About the family: Transfer RNA (tRNA) molecules are approximately 80 nucleotides in length. Their secondary structure includes four short double-helical elements and three loops (D, anti-codon, and T loops).
Source: RNAcentral